AGACAAUGCCCAGACCUCCAGAAACCAUGUGUCAAGCUCGGAUUGCCUUAGACAGGUGCAAUUUAAGAACAGCUUUCAUCCUCUUUUCUCUCAUAUUGUCACACUAUGUGUUCUGACUUCUGGCUCCUUUCCUCACAAGAAGCUCACCCAGCUGGAACUCUUAUGGGACCUUGGCACCAGAGACCACAAAUUCCUCUUUGAAGUUUUCUAACAGCAACAAUGAACCCCUCCUUGUCUUCAGGAGUUUGUCUAGCAGAGGAGUCUGUCAUGUAAUCAGGAAACUCCAGUACACAACGUGAUAGCUCUAAGACAGAGUUUCGCUCUGUCGCCCAGGCUGGAGUGCAGUGGCGCGCGAUCUCGGUUCACUGCAAGCUCCACCUCCCGGGUUCACGCCAUUCUCCUGCCUCAGCCUCCUGAGUAGCUGGGACUACAGGCGCCCGCCACCACACCCAGGAAUCCAACUUGCUGUUUGCUAUCACAUGUGCUAUACAUGCUGUUGAUGAAACUGCUAAAGGGGCUGAAUGUGACUGACGUCUUUGGAAGGAUGAGACUUAGCGUGCCUGUACAGUUGUGUCCAAAUGCUGUCCUCAUCUCCCAAUGAAAAGGGUUUUUCCUUAAGCCUCACAACAAUUUACAGCAUUGCCAGCAGCAUUCAGUACAUUCAGAACAGGAUAAUUUCACCCGCAGCUGAACUAGGGCCAUGCCUGGGACAGACAGAGAAUGGCCUUCCAGCAGACAUGCCAAGAAGCAAGCCAGGGUCAGUGAGUGAAGAGGAGGGCAGGCCCAUUUGAAGCAACACAGUUUAUAUACAUGAAAAGAAAGAAGGAGAGAAGGAAGAAAGGAGGGCGGAAGGAAAGGAAGAAGGGAGAGAAGAAGAGAAGAAAGAAGCAGAGAAAGGAAGAGAAAAGAAAUUACGGCCAGUGCGGUGGCUCACGCCUGUAAUCCUAGCACUUUGGGAGGCCUAAGCGGGCUGAUCACCUGAGGUCAGGAGUUCGUAAGCCAGCCUGGCCAACAUGGUGAAACCCUAUCUCUACUAAAAAUACAAAAAUCAGCAGGGCAUGGUGGUGCGUGCCUGUAAUCCCAGCUACCUGGGAGGCUGAGGUAGGAGAAUCGCUGGAACCCGAGAGGCGGAGGCUGCAGUGAGUUGAGAUCAUGUCACUGCACUCCAGGCUGGGCAACAGAGUGAGACUCUGUCUCAGAAAAAAAAAAAAA
Homo sapiens (human) is the source of this 1212-nucleotide long non-coding RNA. Ensembl annotates it as lung cancer associated transcript 1. Its record names the gene LUCAT1. Lineage: Eukaryota; Metazoa; Chordata; Mammalia; Primates; Hominidae. The record is from Ensembl.